UUGAUGCCGCGUGAGUGAAGAAGGCCUUUGGGUUGUAAAGCUCUUUUGUAGGGGAAGAUAAUGACUGUACCCUAAGAAUAAGGUCCGGCUAACUUCGUGCCAGCAGCCGCGGUAAUACGAAGGGACCUAGCGUAGUUCGGAAUUACUGGGCGUAAAGCGCGCGUAGGCCGUUGAGUUAGUUAAUUGUGAAAUCCCAAAGCUUAACUUUGGAACUGCAAUUAAAACUGCUCGACUAGAGUUUGAUAGAGGAAAGCGGAAUACAUAGUGUAGAGGUGAAAUUCGUAGAUAUUAUGUAGAACACCAGUUGCGAAGGCGGCUUUCUGGGUCAACACUGACGCUGAGGCGCGAAAGUAUGGGUAGCAAAGAGGAUUAGAUACCCUCGUAGUCCAUACCAUAAACGAUGAUUGCUAGAUGUUGGAAAUUUAUUUUCAGUAUCGCAGCUAACGCAUUAAGCAAUCCGCCCGGGGAGUACGACCGCAAGGUUAAAACUCAAAUGAAUUGACGGGGACCCGCACAAGCGGUGGAGCAUGUGGUUUAAUUCGAAGAUACGCGCAGAAACUUACCAACCCUUGACAUGUCUGUCGCGAGUUUAGGAAACUAGACUUUUCGGUUCGCGCGGACAGAACACACGUGCUGCAUGGCUGUCGUAACUCGUGUCCUGAGAAUGUGGGUUAAGUCC
RNAcentral lists this ribosomal RNA (679 nucleotides) under uncultured bacterium. RNAcentral describes it as "bacterial SSU rRNA". It matches the Rfam family "Bacterial small subunit ribosomal RNA", at positions 391 to 1087 of the family's 1533-position model. The record is from RNAcentral.